RNAcentral lists this ribosomal RNA (326 nucleotides) under uncultured eukaryote. RNAcentral's name for it is "partial 18S ribosomal RNA". It matches the Rfam family "Eukaryotic small subunit ribosomal RNA", at positions 1470 to 1796 of the family's 1831-position model. The record is from RNAcentral.
CCCUUAGAUGUUCGGGGCCGCACGCGCGCUACACUGAAGGACUCAGCGUGUCUCUCCCCCUAUCCCGAAAGGGAUGGGCAACCCGUUGAACCUCCUUCGUGCUAGGGAUUGGGGUUUGCAAUUAUCCCCCAUGAACGAGGAAUUCCCAGUAAGCGCGAGUCAUCAGCUCGCGUUGAUUACGUCCCUGCCCUUUGUACACACCGCCCGUCGCACCUACCGAUUGAAUGGUCCGGUGAAAUCUCCGGACUGGCGUGAGUCGGAGCAAUCUGACAAACACCGGAAAGUUGAUUAAACCUUACCAUUUAGAGGAAGGUGAAGUCGUAACA